This 1503-nucleotide ribosomal RNA is filed under the name Escherichia coli. RNAcentral describes it as "partial 23S ribosomal RNA". It matches the Rfam family "Bacterial large subunit ribosomal RNA", at positions 419 to 1907 of the family's 2925-position model. The record is from RNAcentral. Lineage: Bacteria; Pseudomonadati; Pseudomonadota; Gammaproteobacteria; Enterobacterales; Enterobacteriaceae.
GGGACACGUGGUAUCCUGUCUGAAUAUGGGGGGACCAUCCUCCAAGGCUAAAUACUCCUGACUGACCGAUAGUGAACCAGUACCGUGAGGGAAAGGCGAAAAGAACCCCGGCGAGGGGAGUGAAAAAGAACCUGAAACCGUGUACGUACAAGCAGUGGGAGCACGCUUAGGCGUGUGACUGCGUACCUUUUGUAUAAUGGGUCAGCGACUUAUAUUCUGUAGCAAGGUUAACCGAAUAGGGGAGCCGAAGGGAAACCGAGUCUUAACUGGGCGUUAAGUUGCAGGGUAUAGACCCGAAACCCGGUGAUCUAGCCAUGGGCAGGUUGAAGGUUGGGUAACACUAACUGGAGGACCGAACCGACUAAUGUUGAAAAAUUAGCGGAUGACUUGUGGCUGGGGGUGAAAGGCCAAUCAAACCGGGAGAUAGCUGGUUCUCCCCGAAAGCUAUUUAGGUAGCGCCUCGUGAAUUCAUCUCCGGGGGUAGAGCACUGUUUCGGCAAGGGGGUCAUCCCGACUUACCAACCCGAUGCAAACUGCGAAUACCGGAGAAUGUUAUCACGGGAGACACACGGCGGGUGCUAACGUCCGUCGUGAAGAGGGAAACAACCCAGACCGCCAGCUAAGGUCCCAAAGUCAUGGUUAAGUGGGAAACGAUGUGGGAAGGCCCAGACAGCCAGGAUGUUGGCUUAGAAGCAGCCAUCAUUUAAAGAAAGCGUAAUAGCUCACUGGUCGAGUCGGCCUGCGCGGAAGAUGUAACGGGGCUAAACCAUGCACCGAAGCUGCGGCAGCGACGCUUAUGCGUUGUUGGGUAGGGGAGCGUUCUGUAAGCCUGCGAAGGUGUGCUGUGAGGCAUGCUGGAGGUAUCAGAAGUGCGAAUGCUGACAUAAGUAACGAUAAAGCGGGUGAAAAGCCCGCUCGCCGGAAGACCAAGGGUUCCUGUCCAACGUUAAUCGGGGCAGGGUGAGUCGACCCCUAAGGCGAGGCCGAAAGGCGUAGUCGAUGGGAAACAGGUUAAUAUUCCUGUACUUGGUGUUACUGCGAAGGGGGGACGGAGAAGGCUAUGUUGGCCGGGCGACGGUUGUCCCGGUUUAAGCGUGUAGGCUGGUUUUCCAGGCAAAUCCGGAAAAUCAAGGCUGAGGCGUGAUGACGAGGCACUACGGUGCUGAAGCAACAAAUGCCCUGCUUCCAGGAAAAGCCUCUAAGCAUCAGGUAACAUCAAAUCGUACCCCAAACCGACACAGGUGGUCAGGUAGAGAAUACCAAGGCGCUUGAGAGAACUCGGGUGAAGGAACUAGGCAAAAUGGUGCCGUAACUUCGGGAGAAGGCACGCUGAUAUGUAGGUGAAGUCCCUCGCGGAUGGAGCUGAAAUCAGUCGAAGAUACCAGCUGGCUGCAACUGUUUAUUAAAAACACAGCACUGUGCAAACACGAAAGUGGACGUAUACGGUGUGACGCCUGCCCGGUGCCGGAAGGUUAAUUGAUGGGGUUAGCGCAAGCGAAGCUC